Long non-coding RNA from Ictalurus punctatus (channel catfish), 5052 nucleotides. NCBI's taxonomy places the organism in Eukaryota, Metazoa, Chordata, Actinopteri, Siluriformes, Ictaluridae. The record is from Ensembl.
CGUGGAUACAGCAGGGGGAGCUGGAAGCUGAAGAGAGCAGACAGGCAGCGCGCGCAGGAGCAGGACACUUCCCGGUGUCGCGGCUCUGUCAGGCGGAUGGAUGAAGCCGAAUCUCCGGGAACAUUCUCCACCUCCAUCAGCACACUUCCGGUGAUGUGGAACGCAUAGCUGAUCCUCAGAGCUUCUUCUUGUGUGUGUGUGUGUGUGUGUGUGUGUGUGAGUGUGUGUGUGUGUGUGUGUGUGUGUUUCUCUCUCUCUGAGGCUUGGUGUGUGUCUGUAACGCGCACACGGCGUCCUCCGCGGACAGGACAGAGAUCAUAAAUAAUAAAUAAACAAUAAGAGUCAUCAUGGAUAAUGAAAAGUAUUUGCCGGAGCUGAUGGCUGAGAAGGAUUCCCUGGACCCGUCUUUCCAACACUCUUCACGCCUCUUAGAGCAAGUGGCUGUAAAGAAAAUAUUGAAGCCUGUCAUUAAAGGGCUGUCAGCUGUCACUCAAACUGGACACACCUGAGGUCAAGCCACAGAAAUCCUUUUUUAUUCCACUUACUUUUUUUAAGCAUUAAUCUUUCUCUUUGUUGCAUCCUUUCAUACAAAAGACAUAAAUAUGAAUAAAUAUGAAUGUGCUGAGAGGACACGCUUCUUAUUCAUUUAGAUAGAUGGCCUUUGGGCGUCGGGAAUACGUCCCACGUUGUCCCACACGAACUUACUACUUGUCCCGCAUUUGUUCCGUUUGCAUCCGGUCACCCUAUGAGGACUGGCUCAGGCGUUUAGAGGACGAAUUAGACUCGCACAUCACGCCUCUAACGACUGCGUGUUUAACAGCACCACUAACACACAUAGAUUUUCCCAUUAACUUCUGAUUCAGGCCGCUGUAAUUUACAAGUGACUGAUACAGUGAAUACGUCGUAACUCAGCCGUGAAGCGUCUCCAUCACUCGUCCCGGUGCAGAGGUAGUGACACUCAUCACACAGGUCCAAUUCUUCUUAAUUAAAACGUAAUCAGACUUCUGACACAUUCAUUUAUGAUCUCCUGAGUGUGUGGAUGUUUCUGCACUCCUUCUUCCUGUUCUGUAUUUAUAGCUCCUGCACUUCGAUUCAUCACUGUGCGACGGUCACAUACGCACAUACGCGUCCCUCGGAACGAGCCGUCACUAUGGGAACAGUAACGUGUUAGGACGAGCGCACGGAUAUAGACCUGCGCUACUGUCCGAGCCGCUGUUCUAGAAAAUGAAUCAACACCUGACGACCAAUCGGGUUUGAGAAUUCAACAGCAUCAUGGGAUAUGAAUGCACAAUGUAAGCAAAUAUGUUUUGCACACUGGAUUUGGAAAUAAUAGGUUUGCGCUUCUUGGAUCUUGAGAAGAGUACGUGAGCAAAUUUAGAUGUGAAGAGUGAAAGUACUGUGUGUACGCUCUGAAACACUAGCCAAGGUUUCGUUUCUUCUCAGAGUAUACAUCGUGUAACCGUAACACUUUGUGUUGUUUUGUGCUCCUUGAACAUCCUGUCCGGAGACAUCUCCUUCCACCCUGCUCAAUAAUGCACGGCCUGCACGACUUAUUCAGGGCAGUGAGCCUUAAGGAAACACUUUAGCCCCAAACACUAAUGUUAUUAAUAAUGAAUGACAGCCAGUUGGGAACAGUUAGUGCUAUGCAAAUGAGAGAGGGCUAAUAGGCCAACCGCUGGGUUUCAAUCAUCGUUAACUCUGUUAGCAUUUUGGGGUGAACUUUUAAGGUUGAGGAAAUUCAUUAGCCCACUUUCGUACGUGUAUGUACAGAGCUGGCUUGGGGCUGCAGUUUGAGACGUAAAAGUGUUUCCUCAGAAGUGUCCUCACACCCGCUUUCAACAGAUUAAACACUGGGUACAAGGUGCUGCUGUGAGGAUGACACGUUCAACAUGGAAAAUCAGAAUGAAAUAAACUAAUGGUCCAGUCUGAUCUGGUACUGAUCCAGAGUCUCAUUCUGCUAUGCAGGUGGCAGCAGUGAUUGAUCAACAGGAAAGGAAAUGCAGGAAUGAAUGGUUUAUUUAUUUUAUUUUUAUUGCUUUAAACUUUAUUAAAUAUAAAACAGAGCUGAUAUAUUUAUUAACAUUUUGGGGCUGGUAUUGUGGGUGGGAACUGUGGUCUAACUGGUUGCAUUAUGCAUGGGAAGUGCAUUCUGACUGGUUAAAGUAACUGCUUUCUGAUUGGGUAUAAUGGCAUUACAACCAGGAAGUGUGUUCUGAUUGGUUACAGUGGCAUUAUAACCAGGAAGUGUGUUCUGAUUGGUUACACUGACGUUACAGGGAGGAAGUGUGAUCUGAUUGGUUACAGUGGCAUUACAACCAGGAAGUGUGUUCUGAUUGGUUACACUGACGUUACAGGGAGGAAGUGUGUUCUGAUUGGUUACAGUGGCAUUACAGGGAGGAAGUGUGAUCUGAUUGGUUACACUGACGUUACAGGGAGGAAGUGUGUUCUGAUUGGUUACACUGACGCUACAGGGAGGAAUGUGCUCUGAUUGGUUACACUGACGUUACAGGGAGGAAGUGUGUUCUGAUUGGUUACACUGACGUUACAGGGAGGAAGUUUGAUCUGAUUGGUUACACUGACGUUACAGGGAGGAAGUGUGUUCUGAUUGGUUACACUGACGUUACAGGGAGGCUGUUUAUGAUGAACAGAGCAGUGAGUUCAUGAAUUAAUGAUCUAGAUCGAGCUGUCUUUAGCCGGAGUAAAGCAGUGGACAGGUGGAUUUGCAGGUUUUUCAGCUCCAUUCCGUCUCGGUGAGCAGCAGGAAAGCGCCACAGCUCUAUAAACAGGAUCAUUCUGACCCACAGCUGCACUUUCCCGUCCCUCAGAGCAUUCACGCCUCAGUUUUUAUCCUCUAAAGUGCAUUCUUGGCGCAGUUCACAUUAAUGAGACACGGCAUGUAUGGCCUGCAGCACAAUGCUCGACUUAGGGAGUUUUUCCUCGCCACCGUCACCACCGGUUCGCUCAAUAGGCAUAAAUUCACACUCCUAAAAUCUGUAUCCUGUGUAUAUAUGUUUCUGCAAAGCUGCUUUGAGACAACGUCCGUUGUUAAGAGACCUAAAGUGUGUUCGUGUGACCUUCGACCCUCCUGUGAGGAGAGCACUCGUGUUAAUCUGGUCUGAAGCCGCGUCCUCCGUGGCUUCUCCCUCGUCAGUUAUGCACACAUUAAUAUUUUAUGAGUGCAGCUGGAUAAUGCAGCACACGGCACGGCAUCAAAGCAGGACAUAAUGACACCGGAUUACAGACACAGAGACAGACAGGAAGAGACAGCGAUAGAUCGAGAGAUAGAAAGACACACUGGAAUGAAGAAUGAGCGCAUCUGAUUUAUAAAAAUGAUCCUGUGAAGAAACAUGUACGGUUGCCAGGUUUCAGCAAAAUAUCCCGCUACUACAUCCGAAAAAAAAAAAAAAAAAAAACUGUACAAGAAGACCUGAACCGAGCCCAAAGAUGCUGCUGCUGUAUGGCCAAACAGUGAAAAUGUAGUAGAGCUGGGCGAUAUAAUGACAUCAUACCUACAUCGUGAUCAAUUCUGACACAAUACACUUUUCAGAGAUAUCGCAGGUAUCGUGUUAUCUUUAUCAAACUUACUGUGUAGCAUCUUUAUAUAACUUAUUUUAUUAAGCUACAAUAUAGCUGAAGUGCACAACAACAGCGUUCCUCACCUGAUGUGCUUUUCCCUCAUGAAGCCUCAGCUUUCUUUACACUGUGACGUGAUUCACUGUAAUAUCAGCGCGGCCACUGCGACAGAAAUAGUUCUGCGGAUCGUACGUACACUUUCUGAUCUUACACGUUAGCUUCGUUUGCUGAAAAUGAUCAUUAAAAAAAGUUAUUCCUUUUUUUCCCCCCACCCUUUUUUUCCCUCACCAAUAGAGAACCACUGGUCCAUCCGUGGGUCCAGUUGGAUUGUUUUUGGUACCUGCUCAACACUGGGACCAACUGGACCUACAGGAAGAUUUCCACUGAGGUUCUGGAGUCUUAACUAAUCCUUACUAAAGGGUAAUUUUCUCGAGUUCCCCUUUAAGCAGCGCGCUGUGGAGCAUGUGAGCGCGCGUGCACGAGCAGGUUCGCGAGCACCUGCUUUUCCCUUGUGGACAAUCGUGACAUUUCGACACGUGCAUUUGUUAUGUUUCUGUCAUGUCUCCUCCCCGUUCUGUCAUUGGUGGUUGUUUCACGUGUGUCUGAAUCGCCCUGAGCCGUCAGCCAUUAAAACGCUGAUUAUGUUUGUAUAUACACCGCGCGCCCCCAACACACGGCGCAGGAUAUUGAGUCAGAUAGUAGAUUAGUUUAGAGUCCUUACGAUAGAGAACCACAGUCACAGUCCAUAGUUCCAUGUUUCGAGUCUUAGUCUUAGUCUUAGUCUUAGUUCAUAGUUCAUGUCAUGUUUAGGUUCGUUAGUUUAGUUCACGCUGCUUUCUCCGCUCCCAGUCCCUCGCUGUAGCUUAUGUUUCAUGUUUUGUAUCUCGACCCUGUUUUCCGUGACCGCGACCUUGAUUCCUGCCUCGCCCCGUGUACGCCUGUUUGCCGAUCGUCUGAACUUUGCCAGUUUUUGGAUUACGUUUACGGAUCACGUUUUGGAUUUUCCUGCCCGUGUCUCUCCUAAAUAAAACUGUUAUCCUGCACUUGCAUCCGUCCUAAUCUCCGUUACGUCACGAUACGUGACAGUAAUAGAACUAACUAGCUUCUACGAGAACCCUUUAUUUAAUAUUGUUCUAGAACCCCUUACUUAAGAUUGUUAUCGGACUUUUAGUUAAUAUAUUUCUAGAACCCCUUAGGUAAAAAUUGUUCAAAACCCCUUUAGUUAAGAUUGUUCUAGAACGCUUUAUUUCAUAUAUUUCUAGAACCCUUUAGUUAAGAAUGUUCUAGAACGUUUUAGUUAAUAUUGUUCUCGAACUUUUAGUUAAUAUAUUUCUGAGACCCAUUUAAAUUUUUUUCUAAACCCAUUUAGUUAAGAUUGUUCUAGAACCCUUUAAUUAAUAUGUUUCUAAACCCUUUAGUUAAGAUUGUCCUUUAGUUAAUAUAUUUCUAGAACCCUUUAGUUAAUUUUGUUCUAGAACC